AGGAUGCGGGUGACCGCCCGAGCUCUCCCGAGCGCCAGAGGCCUUGCUUGCGCUUGGUCUUGCUCGCCCGCACCCCUCCAGGAGUCGGCUGCUUGCCCAGAAGUCUCUAUAGAGGAACUGUCGCCGUCAGUCUCUGGGCCUAGAGGGGUGCGAGGAGAAGUGGUCCCUGGCUGCGGUCCGUGUGGCCAACGCCUAAACCAAGAUAUGUUGAGCACUUCUGCCUUCCCGACGGUUCGCUAACCUUGCCCCGCUGGGCAGCGGCAGGAUGAAGAGGAAGCCUGAAGCCAGCACCCGACAGCUCCAAGAGCUGAAUGAGGGCUGUGCUCUGGGGCCUGGGAGAAGGCGAGCCCACUUCUGACCGGGAAUCGGGAGAGAGUACCUGAAAGCCGAGCCCUUUGGGCUGAGCUCUAAAGAAUGGACAGAACCCCAACCCGGAUGCGAUCGGGAAAUGAAGUAGGCAGAAGUGUUAAGAUAAACGGGGAAAGCCAAUGCAGGGUGACUGGAAUGCAAGGACCUUGUUUGGAGUUUGGGGGAGAAUGCUGGGAGGGAUUUUGAGAGGGCCAGGUGAGAGACCUUAAUACCAAGUCAAAUAAGUUAAUGUGACUCCGGAGGCUUUCUUCCUAUUUCUCUAAGAGAAACAAUAAAGCUAGUGGUUAAAUACA
This is a long non-coding RNA of Marmota monax (woodchuck), 662 nucleotides long. RefSeq lists it as uncharacterized. The transcript is spliced from 2 exons. The record is from RefSeq and is a predicted model, not a curated record. NCBI's taxonomy places the organism in Eukaryota, Metazoa, Chordata, Mammalia, Rodentia, Sciuridae.